AAAUACAUUAUACUUCUUUUUUUUUUUUUUUUUUUUUUUUUUUUCUUUUUGGACCCAACACCAAGUGUUAUUUGCCACUUUCAAAAUAAAGGUUAGGAAGCAAAAAUCAAAUCAGAAAAUAUAAGUUAGAUAAGGUUUAGGCAGGAAAAUUGGAUUAGGAUUAAUAUAAUUAGGAAGAAUAAAUAAUAUAUAUAAUUAUAAUUUUAGGUUAAAACUGUUGAGGAAUAAGAUAAUAAUUUUAUAAAUAACUGGGUCUACUGUAUGUAAUAAAUAAGGUACAGAUAUAGGAAAAGGAAUACUAAGUGAUGAUAAAGAACUAUAAAGAAGUGAAUGGUCAAAAAGGGGACAUGAAAGAAUAAUGUGAUUUAAAUCGCCAAUGUCCGCACCGCAUUCACACUUACUGCUAUCCAGCACUCCGAUCGUCGCUAGAUGUGCCGGACUACACGUGUGGCCUAAUCUCAUCCGUAUCAAACUGGAAGUCUCGUGGCGUUUAAAAUUAUAUUUGUAGAACCAUGGUUUGGAAGGAAUGGUUUCUACAGUCUAAGAGAAUAGGGUAAAUCGGUUGAGAUUUAAAAGGAAAUUUUGCAAGAGCCUGUAAAGCACUCUUUGAAUCGGGAUUUGAAAACGAAUUUAUCAGAUAAAUAUUGACGUCUCAAAUGAAGAGGAGGAUCAACACAUUCUACCUGUAAUGCUGUAACAGGACUAGAUUUCAUGGCUCCAGUGAUAAUUCUGAGUGAUUUAGACUGUAUAGUGUCUAGUUUUUUGAAAGCAUUCACAUCCCCUGGUUGAAGUAAAAAAGUACCAUAAUCUAAAACUGAUCUUACUAUGGCAUUAUAUAAAAGUUUUAAAUUGAAUGGGUGGGCACCCCACCAUACACCAGCAAGAGAACAUGAGAGAGCUAUGGGUCUGUAUGACAAUACAUCUGAUGAAGAUUUACCCGGUUUGAGAAUGGGUAAAAUAAUUUGUUUUUUCCAUGACUCUGGGAUAACACAUGUAAUGAACAUAGAAUUUAUAAGGUUGAGGUAAUAUGUGAGACUAGAAUCACUCAAAUGGACAAAGAAAGAAUAAGGAAUCUUAUCAUCACCUGGAGCAGAGUCCUUAAGAUUCGAGAUUACCCCCUUCAGUUCAUUAAAUGAAAAAGGUAAAUCAAAAUCUGAAACUGGAUCUGAACAGGAGAAAGGAAGGACAGACGGGAUAAGAACUAAACAUUCUUCUGGAACAUAAGGGGGAGCUAAUUUAUCAAGAAACUUGUCAGCCAGAUCAUAAGGCAAGUCUUUGACUGUAUUUUCUUUAUAUGCAGAUCUAAAUCUUCUUAUUUGGUUCCAUACUUCAGAAGGUGAGAUAUUAGGACAAAUCGAAGCACAAAAUUUUUUAAAACCUUCUCGUUUCUUUUUUAAUAAAAGAUUCCGAGUACUAUUGAUUCUUUCUGUUAGAAUAUCAAAAUUUUCUGUAAUAGUUUCUUCUAAAUAUAAUAAUUCGGCUGCUUUUCUCUCCUUUACCGCCUGAGUGCACUCCCGGUCCCACCAAGGAGGAGAAGGAAUAAAAAUACCAGAAGGGCUUUUAGAAGGGAAAACUUCAUCAGCUGUUUCUAUAAAAGCAGAAGCUAAAAUUUUUGCUUGUGCAUCGGAAUCUAAGUUAUUAAUAUUUUCACAGUUGGCAAGUUUAAUAUCCAAACGCGAUUGAAACAUUUUCCAAUCCUCAUCUGUUACUUGAGAUAGAUUGUACUUUAUUGUAGACUUAUGUUUAGAAUGAUCCUUAAUUACUAUGUUAUUGUGUGAAAAUGAAAUAAUAAUAGGAUAGUGGUCACUUCCAUAACUUAAUUUUAAUGUUUUCCAGGACAAAGACGGCACCAGAGAUGGGGAGGAAAUAGAUAUAUCAGGAGCACUAACAAUUUGAUCAGGACCAGUUCUACGAGUUGGACUUCCAGAAUUUAAAAUACACAAAUUCUGUUCAUUAACAAAAUCAAGAAUUAUAUCUCCAAAUUCAUUAGAUAUUGAGCUUCCCCAUGUUUGAUGAAGGGUGGGGAAUAUAUACACUAACUAUACAUAUAUUAUUUACAAUGACCGCAAUAAUGGAUAAACCAAAACUAUGAUCAGGUAUAUCUACAAGUUUAAAGCUAAGAACACUAUUUACAAGAAGAGCAACACCACUGUACCCGUCAAUACGAUCUUCACGGAUACAGGUAUAUCCUUUGAUUUUGAAAGGAUAUAUACUUUUCAACCAUGUUUCCUGUAAAGAAACUAUGAUUGGAGAGUGUUUAUUUAUUAAGUGAAUGAGAUCAGACUUUUUACUUAGAAUACUUCGACAGUUCCACUGAAUCAUCUUUUUUAUUUGUGGAGCCAUUGUAUGUUUUGUUUAAAAUUUGUCUUAUGAUAUCAGCUGCGUUGGACGGUGUAGCGUUAUUAGGAGCAAGUAAAUUAAUAAGAGCAAUAAUUA
Bombyx mori (domestic silkworm) is the source of this 2436-nucleotide long non-coding RNA. RefSeq lists it as uncharacterized. The transcript is spliced from 5 exons. The record is from RefSeq and is a predicted model, not a curated record. Lineage: Eukaryota; Metazoa; Arthropoda; Insecta; Lepidoptera; Bombycidae.